GAGUUUGAUCGUGGCUCAGAUUGAACGCUGGCGGCAUGCCUUACACAUGCAAGUCGAACGGCAGCACGGGAGCUUGCUCCUGGUGGCGAGUGGCGAACGGGUGAGUAAUGCAUCGGAACGUAUCCUGGAGUGGGGGAUAACGUAGCGAAAGUUACGCUAAUACCGCAUAUUCUGUGAGCAGGAAAGCGGGGGACCUUCGGGCCUCGCGCUCUUGGAGCGGCCGAUGUCGGAUUAGCUAGUUGGUGAGGUAAAGGCUCACCAAGGCGACGAUCCGUAGCAGGUCUGAGAGGAUGAUCUGCCACACUGGAACUGAGACACGGUCCAGACUCCUACGGGAGGCAGCAGUGGGGAAUUUUGGACAAGUGGGGGCAACCCUGAUCCAGCCAUGCCGCGUGAGUGAAG
RNAcentral lists this ribosomal RNA (402 nucleotides) under bacterium enrichment culture clone ALO1_GLFRUDD03HHJFU. Its description in RNAcentral is "bacterial SSU rRNA". It matches the Rfam family "Bacterial small subunit ribosomal RNA", at positions 9 to 410 of the family's 1533-position model. The record is from RNAcentral.